CAGAAAAGCUCGUGUGGUCGGUGCUAUUCUUGGCCAUCGCAGUUGCUGCAGUAACCGGUGUGUCUUACAAGAAGGGACUCGGUUUUGGAUGGCAGGAUCUCAAAUGCAGGGAUUUCACUCCUUUUGUUGGGAAACUGGCAUGGUGGUAUGAUUGGCGAGUAAGCGGCAAAGACCAGUGCACUACAGACGACAGCUUGGAAUACGUACCCAUGUUCUGGGGCCUGGAUCACGUGCCAAUGAUAACCAACAUCAGAGGAAACAAAUACUUGCUGGGGUUUAACGAGCCGAACUUCAGAGUCCAAGCCAACAUCAGCCCGGAGUUGGCAGCAGAGAAAUGGGUUCAACUUCAGAAGAACGUCCCCGCCAAUGUCAAGAUGGUCAGCCCUGCCGCCGCGCCCUGCGACACCAACGACAAAAAUA
Long non-coding RNA from Lingula anatina, 420 nucleotides. NCBI's taxonomy places the organism in Eukaryota, Metazoa, Brachiopoda, Lingulata, Lingulida, Lingulidae. The record is from RefSeq and is a predicted model, not a curated record.